RNAcentral lists this microRNA precursor (60 nucleotides) under Panagrellus redivivus. RNAcentral's name for it is "microRNA prd-mir-7914 precursor". The record is from miRBase by way of RNAcentral. Lineage: Eukaryota; Metazoa; Nematoda; Chromadorea; Rhabditida; Panagrolaimidae.
AGAUCUCUUUCCCCUUUUACGGCAUAGUGAUUUGUUUGCUGAAAAGACGAAAGGGGUUUU